Molecule: ribosomal RNA, 725 nt
Filed under: uncultured Bacteroidota bacterium
Lineage: Bacteria; Pseudomonadati; Bacteroidota
Description: bacterial SSU rRNA
Rfam family: Bacterial small subunit ribosomal RNA
Source: RNAcentral
AUGCAAGUCGAACGAUACCAGAGAGCUUGCUUUCUGGGAAAGUGGCGCACGGGUGCGUAACGCGUAUGCAACCUACCUUAAUCAGGGGGAUAGCCUCUCGAAAGAGAGAUUAACACCGCAUAACAUCAUUUUACGGCAUCGUAGAAUGAUCAAAUAUUUAUAGGAUUAAGAUGGGCAUGCGUGACAUUAGUUUGUUGGUGAGGUAACGGCUCACCAAGACUACGAUGUCUAGGGGAUCUGAGAGGAUGACCCCCCACACUGGUACUGAGACACGGACCAGACUCCUACGGGAGGCAGCAGUAAGGAAUAUUGGUCAAUGGGGGCAACCCUGAACCAGCCAUGCCGCGUGCAGGAAGACGGCCCUACGGGUUGUAAACUGCUUUUAUACGGGAAUAAACCUCACUACGUGUAGUGAGCUGAAUGUACUGUAAGAAUAAGGAUCGGCUAACUCCGUGCCAGCAGCCGCGGUAAUACGGAGGAUCCAAGCGUUAUCCGGAUUUAUUGGGUUUAAAGGGUGCGUAGGCGGCCUAUUAAGUCAGGGGUGAAAGACGGUGGCUCAACCAUCGCAGUGCCUUUGAUACUGAUAGGCUUGAUUACACUUGAGGUAGGCGGAAUGUGACAAGUAGCGGUGAAAUGCAUAGAUAUGUCACAGAACACCAAUUGCGAAGGCAGCUUACUAAGGUGUUAAUGACGCUGAGGCACGAAAGCGUGGGGAUCAAACAGGA